GUCCCUGUAGCGCAAUGGAUAGCCCGUUGAACUUCUAAUCCAAAGGUCGUGGGUUUAAAUCCUAUCUGGGAUG
This 73-nucleotide transfer RNA is filed under the name Trichonephila inaurata madagascariensis. It matches the Rfam family "tRNA". Rfam says of the family: Transfer RNA (tRNA) molecules are approximately 80 nucleotides in length. Their secondary structure includes four short double-helical elements and three loops (D, anti-codon, and T loops). The record is from Rfam by way of RNAcentral. Lineage: Eukaryota; Metazoa; Arthropoda; Arachnida; Araneae; Nephilidae.